RNAcentral lists this unclassified non-coding RNA (355 nucleotides) under soil metagenome. RNAcentral describes it as "partial contains 5.8S ribosomal RNA, internal transcribed spacer 2, and large subunit ribosomal RNA". The stretch from base 1 to 120 matches the Rfam family "5.8S ribosomal RNA", at positions 35 to 154 of the family's 154-position model. The record is from RNAcentral.
GAUGAAGAACGUAGCGAAAUGCGAUAAGUAAUGUGAAUUGCAGAAUUCAGUGAAUCAUCGAAUCUUUGAACACACAUUGCGCCCGCCAGUAUUCUGGCGGGCAUGCCUGUCCGAGCGUCAUUUCAACCCUCGAGCCCCCCCGGGGGGUCGGCGUUGGGGAUCGGCUGUCAAGUCAAGACUGCCGGCCCCGAAAUGCAGUGGCGGUCUCGCCGCAGCCUCUCCUGCGCAGUAGCUUGCACGCUCGCAACGGGAGCGCGGCGCGUCCACGGCCGUAAAACAACCCAAACUUCUGAAAGGUUGACCUCGGAUCAGGUAGGAAUACCCGCUGAACUUAAGCAUAUCAAUAAGCGGAGGA